RNAcentral lists this non-coding RNA (306 nucleotides) under Amborella trichopoda. Lineage: Eukaryota; Viridiplantae; Streptophyta; Magnoliopsida; Amborellales; Amborellaceae. The record is from RNAcentral.
UGGUUUGCGUAGAGCAGAGGCUCUCUUGGGUGGGCGGGUUGCGCUUGGUUCGAUGUGCCCUCUCGAAGCCGAGAGUUGGCCGUGCCCGGGUUGCAUUUGAUUCGAUGUGUCCUCUCCAAGCCAGGAGUUGGCCAUGCCCCUCUAGCUGUAGUGCUGGAGUGGGCUCGAUCUUAGAGUGGAGGGGGAUGCAUGAGGCUAGUUUCACAAAGCAGCGAUUACCUCCCGCUCUUGGCAGUCGUAGGAUAACACGUUGGUGCGUGGACUGCCCAAUCAAACCCUAGAGCUCCAUACUCACAUGGAAAACCA